This 521-nucleotide long non-coding RNA is filed under the name Mytilus galloprovincialis (Mediterranean mussel). The record is from RNAcentral. Lineage: Eukaryota; Metazoa; Mollusca; Bivalvia; Mytilida; Mytilidae.
UGGUCAUUUAAUGUUUUGUUUGUAAUUUUUUUUUAUCAUGACUUCAGAUUUAGGAAGUAAGAUACCAUAUGUGUAAGGAAAAGUUGGUAUAUGUAAACAGUAAGGAGGAAGUAUGCUAAAACAGCAGUUCUAAAGAUACUUUGUUGUUAUUCUUGGUGUCUGUAAACAAAAUGAGAGAAGUGUUCUUGAAAUUACCAUGCUAAAGAUACUUUGUUGUUAUUCUUGGUGUCUGUGAACAAAAUGAGAGGUGUGUUGAAGCUAAAGUGCUAAAGAUACUUUGUUGUUAUUCUCGGUAUCUGUGAAAAUAUAUGAAAGGAGUGUAAUUGAAACUACCUUUAGUGCUAAAGAUACUUUGUUGUUAUUCUUGGUAUCUGUGAACAAAAUGAGAAUUGUGUUCUUGAAACUGCAGUGCUAAAGAUACUUUGUUGUUAUUCUUGGUAUCUUCAAACAAAAUGAUAGCAGUGUUCUUGAAACUGCAGUGCUACAGAUACUGUGUUGUUGUUCUUGGUAUCUGUGAACAC